RNAcentral lists this ribosomal RNA (868 nucleotides) under Diptilomiopus sp. GD134. Its description in RNAcentral is "partial large subunit ribosomal RNA". It matches the Rfam family "Eukaryotic large subunit ribosomal RNA", at positions 366 to 944 of the family's 3401-position model. Lineage: Eukaryota; Metazoa; Arthropoda; Arachnida; Trombidiformes; Diptilomiopidae. The record is from RNAcentral. RNAcentral also lists the same sequence under 3 other names.
AAAUAGUACUUUGCAGAGAGAGUUAACAGGGCGUGAAACCGUUAAUUGGCAAACGAAUCGGAGCCACGAAGUCGUUUCGCUGAGCUGGGUUGAGUUCAGCCUAGAACCGCGUGUUUUAGGUGUACUCUUGGCCUGGCCGUUGUAAGCGUACACUGCAACCAGUUAGACGAUUGGGGAUGGGCCCAGUUGCUCGAGUUAGUAGUAGUAUGGGCGCGCUUCGGUGUUCUUGUAUUGCUGGGCUCGUGGCAAGUGAGCUAUCCCCAAAUACUGACUGGCAAAAUGAAAAUCGCGCGUCAAGCGCGUUUCACAAAAAGCUGCUGCGCCUAUGGCCAUCUACGCAGCCGACCAUGGGGUUUUUAAGCUCGGCAUUCUUGAAUUUAGGCUUGCUUGCUACCGGUGGGGCAACUCCCGGUGCUUGUAUAGUUUCUAUCUAAUCGGGUGUUGACUUGAUUCUGUGUAGUUCGGUUGUGCUAUGAUUGGGUGGUGAUAGGACGUAGUUUGCAAUUAUUGGCAGUGAGUAGGUCGGCUUUCCGAACGACCCGUCUUGAAACACGGACCAAGGAGUCUAAUUAGGCAUCAAGUCGAUCGGUCUUGAAUAGGCCAGACUUGGGGUUUCCCUCAGAUUGAAGGCGUAGAGACAUGUGAUCGUUUGGGCAAUUCCAGUCCUUUCGCGCAACAUGUGCCUGUUCGUAUAGCAAUGUAGCAAUAAUGCUGGGCGGAGCAAAGAGAUGUCUGAUUGGUACCCGAAAGAUGGUGAUGCCUGGGCAAGUUGAAGCCAGAGGAAACUCUGGUGGAGGACUGUAGCGAUUCUGACGUGCAAAUCGAUCGUCAGACCUGGGUAUAGGGGCGAAAGACUAAUCGAACCAUC